UGGGGAAUAUUGCACAAUGGAGGAAACUCUGAUGCAGCGACGCCGCGUGAACGACGAAGGCCUUCGGGUCGUAUAGUUCUGUCCUUGGGAAAGAUAACGACGGUACCCAAGGAGGAAGCCCCGGCUAACUACGUGCCAGCAGCCGCGGUAAUUCGUAGGGGGCGAGCGUUGUCCGGAAUUAUUGGGCGUAAAGGGUUCGCAGGCGGUUAGAUAAGUCAGAUGUGAAAGGCUAUGGCUCAACCAUAGUAAGCAUAUGAAACUGUCUAUAUUGAGUUAAGGAGAGGAAAGUGGAAUUCCUGGUGUAGCGGUGAAAUGCGUAGAUAUUAGGAGGAAUACCGGUGGCGAAGUCGACUUUCUGGACUUAAACUGACGCUGAGGAACGAAAGCGUGGGGAGCAAACAGGAUU
RNAcentral lists this ribosomal RNA (406 nucleotides) under uncultured bacterium. Its description in RNAcentral is "bacterial SSU rRNA". It matches the Rfam family "Bacterial small subunit ribosomal RNA", at positions 355 to 779 of the family's 1533-position model. The record is from RNAcentral.